Molecule: long non-coding RNA, 1261 nt
Filed under: Cinara cedri
Lineage: Eukaryota; Metazoa; Arthropoda; Insecta; Hemiptera; Aphididae
Source: RNAcentral
CAUGUUUAUAGUAGGUGUAUGUCGAGUGUAUAAAAGAAAGUUCGGUCCUAGACAGUAUGGAAAUCGAUCAGAUACCGUUGUUGAAAAUGCUCUUAACAAAAUAAUUAAUUGUGAACUUUAAAUAUUAGCAGCAAGAAAACAAUAUAAAAUAACCCAUGAUAUAUUACACGACAGAUAUCAUGGUAAACAUGGUAAUAAACCGGGAGGCCAACCAUGAACCAAUAUGUAGUGAAUAUUUACUGAAGCUGAGGAAAAAGUAUUAUUGGCUACUAUUGCUAAAUGUAGUAAUUGAUGUUUCCUUUUAACCAUGACUGACUUCAGGUAACUAUUAAUAUCCUUGUUAAAUAUAAUCUAUAAAACACAAAAACUGUUUCUACUUAUGACCAUUAUAGAUUUUAAAAUCAUCCAACCCAACAUGCCCCAAACCAGUCUCAUUAGAAAGGCAAUAAUGCAAAGAUGGUUUUAGACCACUAAAACAACACAUUGAGCAUAUUCAGUCCAUUAAUGAAGUCGAUUUUUGACUUUUCCCAUUCAACAAUUUUCUCGAAUUUUAAUAUUUAUUUUUUUUAUAUAUUUUUUAUAGAUAUAGAUUAUUCACAAACUCACCAAAGAGUGGCAUUACUCACAAACAAAUUAAAAACAAAACUUGUGCAAUUUGUGCAUCACAUUUAAUUAUUUUGACCGCAUUGGUGCGAAGUUGGCACAUACUACUGACUGUCAACACAAAAACACUGAUCUGUCAUUCUCAUCAGAAAGUUUUAUCAUUUGUGUUUAUCACGUAGAUCAUGUCAAGUAAUCAAAUUAGGAAAUAUUAAAAACCUCAUAAAUUGUAUUAAAAAUAUUUGUUUUCAUGAAAUUUGGUGGUGAUUUUAAGUACUGUUAUCAAAAAUGCCACUGAAAAGAGCUGUUACUGGAAGAAAUGCACCAAAUGCUAAACGAAAGAGAACCAUAAGUGCAGCCGAAAUGCCUGAACAACAAGAAGUAUGUUUGGCGUCAAACCAACUGAAAUAUUAAUAAUCAGCUGAAACUCCUCAAUAGCAUAAAAAGUGGCUUGAAGGUAAUUUAUCAUGAACGGCUCAAUCGAUUUUCAGUUGGUUGCAUUCAAUAGUUAAUAAACUAGAUAAUAAUAAUAAAAAAUAAUACUUUUUUCAGAUUAGUGGCAGUUAUUUUUGGACAAAAUGGGUAUUGUCUAAACAUUUAAGGACAAUCUACCGGGUAAUGACUGGACUGAAAGUUUAUUUAAAAGAAAAAUUAUAUUUAU